Molecule: RNase P RNA, 365 nt
Filed under: uncultured Streptococcus sp.
Lineage: Bacteria; Bacillati; Bacillota; Bacilli; Lactobacillales; Streptococcaceae
Description: Bacterial RNase P class B
Rfam family: Bacterial RNase P class B
About the family: Ribonuclease P (RNase P) is a ubiquitous endoribonuclease, found in archaea, bacteria and eukarya as well as chloroplasts and mitochondria.
Source: RNAcentral
UUUUGGAUAAUCGCGUGAUGGAUUGCCAUCAUGAGGAAAGUCCAUGCUAGCACUGGCUGUGAUGCCGGUAGUGUUUGUGCUAGGCGAAUCAAUAAGCCUAGGGAGGUAGCUAUACCUUACGGCAAGCGAACGAGCUAAGUCUUCGGAUAUGCUUUAAUAGCUUUGAAAAGUGCCACAGUGACGUAGUUUCUAGGGAAACUUAGGAAGUGGAACGCGGUAAACCCCUCAAGCUAGCAACCCAAACUUUGGUAGGGGCACGGGAUAGUAGGAAGCAGAACAAUCUAUCCUGACUGUUUUACAGUAGACAGAUGAUUAUCGAAGGAGGCAAGUUCCUAGUUGCCUCUGGAACAAAACAUGGCUUACAG